This 489-nucleotide ribosomal RNA is filed under the name uncultured bacterium. RNAcentral describes it as "bacterial SSU rRNA". It matches the Rfam family "Bacterial small subunit ribosomal RNA", at positions 21 to 518 of the family's 1533-position model. The record is from RNAcentral.
GGUUCAGGACGAACGCUGGCGGCGUGCCUAACACAUGCAAGUCGAACGGACGAGGGGAGGCUUGCUCCCCAACGUUAGUGGCGGACGGGUGAGUAACACGUGAGCAACCUGCCCUUCGGAGGGGGACGAACAGUUGGAAACGACUGCUAAUACCGCAUAACGUAUUUUUGGAGGCAUCUCCGGGAUACCAAAGAUUUAUCGCCGAAGGAUGGGCUCGCGUCUGAUUAGAUAGUUGGUGGGGCAACGGCCUACCAAGUCGACGAUCAGUAGCCGGACUGAGAGGUUGAACGGCCACAUUGGGACUGAGAUACGGCCCAGACUCCUACGGGAGGGCAGCAGUGGGGAAUAUUGGGCAAUUAGGGGGGCGAACCCUGACCCAGCAACGCCGCGUGGAGGAAGAAGGCUUUCGGGUUGUAAACUCCUUUGACGAGGGACGAAGAUGACGGUACCUCGAAAACAAGCCACGGCUAACUACGUGCCAGCAGCCGC